This is a non-coding RNA of Asterias rubens (European starfish), 76 nucleotides long. Lineage: Eukaryota; Metazoa; Echinodermata; Asteroidea; Forcipulatida; Asteriidae. The record is from the annotation of a RefSeq genome assembly.
GGCUAGAUAGCUCAGUUGGUAGAGCGCCGCCGGCACAUUAAUCCGGAGGUCGUUGGUUCGAAUCCCACUCUAGUCA